This 878-nucleotide ribosomal RNA is filed under the name uncultured bacterium. RNAcentral describes it as "bacterial SSU rRNA". It matches the Rfam family "Bacterial small subunit ribosomal RNA", at positions 28 to 916 of the family's 1533-position model. The record is from RNAcentral.
AUUGAACGCUGGCGGCAGGCUUAACACAUGCAAGUCGAGCGGAAACGAUCCUAGCUUGCUAGGAGGCGUCGAGCGGCGGACGGGUGAGUAAUGCAUGGGAAUCUGCCCGGUAGUGGGGGAUAACCUGGGGAAACCCAGGCUAAUACCGCAUACGUCCUACGGGAGAAAGGGGGCUCCGGCUCCCGCUAUUGGAUGAGCCUAUGUCGGAUUAGCUAGUUGGUGAGGUAAUGGCUCACCAAGGCAACGAUCCGUAGCUGGUCUGAGAGGAUGAUCAGCCACAUCGGGACUGAGACACGGCCCGAACUCCUACGGGAGGCAGCAGUGGGGAAUAUUGGACAAUGGGGGCAACCCUGAUCCAGCCAUGCCGCGUGUGUGAAGAAGGCCCUCGGGUUGUAAAGCACUUUCAGCGAGGAAGAACGCCUGGCGGUUAAUACCCGCCAGGAAAGACAUCACUCGCAGAAGAAGCACCGGCUAACUCCGUGCCAGCAGCCGCGGUAAUACGGAGGGUGCAAGCGUUAAUCGGAAUUACUGGGCGUAAAGCGCGCGUAGGUGCUUGAUAAGCCGGUUGUGAAAGCCCCGGGCUCAACCUGGGAACGGCAUCCGGAACUGUCAGGCUAGAGUGCAGGGGAGGAAGGUAGAAUUCCCGGUGUAGCGGUAAAUGCGUAAGAUCGGGAGGAAUACCAGUGGCGAAGGCGGCCUUCUGGACUGACACUGACACUAGGUGCGAAAGCGUGGGUAGCAAACAGGAUUAAUACCCUGGUAGUCACGCCGUAAACGAUUCACCACCUUUGGGUGCCUAGCGCACUUUGUGGCGAAUUACGCGAUAAUCGACGCCUGGGGAGUACGGCCGCAAGGUUAAAACUCAAAUGAAUUGACGG